Molecule: long non-coding RNA, 509 nt
Filed under: Prunus persica (peach)
Lineage: Eukaryota; Viridiplantae; Streptophyta; Magnoliopsida; Rosales; Rosaceae
Description: long non-coding RNA (PPER_LNC006746)
Source: RNAcentral
AUGAAGUAAAUUCAAUACAAAUAAUGUGACUACUCACAAAUUUACACAAACACAAACAAAUAAAAAGAAUUAACAACUACGCAAUUAUUCAAACUACACAAUUAUUCAAAAUCAAUAAAAAGUCAUUUUCCAACUGUUAACAACAACGAAGAAGAAAUUGCAUAAACAUAAAUACCUCAAAAUCAAUACAAUUCAGUGCCUGCCUAAGAACGACCUUAACGCAAGAGAGCUACGACAAACAAGGAAGAACUAGACAAAGAGAAUUGCCCUCCUCUACUCUCCGGAAUCAGCCCUCCUCCGCCAGAAUUGGGCACCACCAAUGACGCACUUGGAUGAGCCUUGUCAUAGCUUCUUGCUACGGCCAAGCUCAGGCUUUACUUUGGAGCAGACUCAUCGCAAGGAAGAAGAGAGAGAGCUCUCGGUGCGAUGUCGUGGAGAGAGAUCCGAUCUUGUGCUUUUAAACAAAAAAAGUAAAAGUGUAUUUUUAUUCAUUACAAUUUAGACAGGCC